Molecule: long non-coding RNA, 348 nt
Organism: Saccostrea cuccullata (small rock oyster)
Lineage: Eukaryota; Metazoa; Mollusca; Bivalvia; Ostreida; Ostreidae
Exons: 3
Source: RefSeq, a predicted model, not a curated record
GCGGAGUAACAUACGGUGUUAACUGCACUCAGGUCUGUGGUCAAUGUUUAAACAGUGAACAGUGUCAUCAUAUCAACGGUACUUGUUUACACGAGUGUUCUCCUGGAUACAAGGGACCGGGCUGCAAAACUAAAUGUGAUAGUUGGAUGUAUGGUAUUAACUGUACUCAGGUCUGUGGUCAUUGCAUUAAUUAUGAACAGUGCCAUCAUAUCAACGGUACUUGUUUACAAGGAUGUUCUCAAGGAUACAAGGGAUCUCUCUGCAAUUCUGCGUGUGAUGAAGGCAUGUAUGGGGAAAACUGCAAUCAAACCUGUGGGCAUUGUAUAAAUAAUAUUCAGUGUAACCACG